Molecule: long non-coding RNA, 1688 nt
Filed under: Medicago truncatula (barrel medic)
Lineage: Eukaryota; Viridiplantae; Streptophyta; Magnoliopsida; Fabales; Fabaceae
Description: long non-coding RNA (MTRU_LNC003188)
Source: RNAcentral
AUUUUAUUUUAUUUUUUUUGAAUCUAUUGAUGAUUAAGUAGCAAGCGAUAAUUUUGAAUUUUUAUCUCUAAACUCUUUCUUCCACCUUCAGAGAGGGGAUGGUUUUGGAUAAUUUAUUUAUUUAUUUUUAUCAAAAAUUGCCUUCUUCAUAUUAUUUUUCUCUCUGUUUAAUACUAAGUAAGUGAUUUUCACAUAAAUCUAAAAAAAAAAAUCUUCGUGAUUUUAUUGUCUUAGUGGAGUGUUGUGGUGUAUAUCGUCUUGUGCGACGUUAUUUGAAUUCUUGUUUUGUUCAGGUGAUCAUUUAGUUUCUAUUGAAAGUUCAGCUAUUCAAUUAAUGAUUUGGGCGUCAAUCUUGCAGAUUUGAGGACAUGAGUAUUCCGUUCACUUUAAUUAUUUUAGUUUAUCCUUAGGCAUCUUAUUGUUGUAUGCUACUAGUUUGAAUGUUGUGAGUUUUUUUUCCAGAUUCAUCCUUUACCUUUUUUACGAUAUUAAACAUGUACUUUUUCAAUUUGAAUAAAUGGACAUCAUUUUGUUUUUGUAUAAAAAAAUAAUAGAAAGCCGUAAAUAUUCACCAAAAUAAGUUAGAAAGUGAUAUACCCCUAGAAAAAAAAAGUAGAAAGCGAUAAAGGUGGCCAUAUCGAUACUAUAAUAUAAAAAAAACUACCCUUUCAGCUCUUUUAGGAUAGAUUUUUCUUUCAAAAAAUGCCCUCAAUUUUGAAUACAAAUAACACAUGUAACAAAUAGAUAAGAAUAAUAUUAAAUAUUUAAAAAAUGUAACAAACACGAUAUCCUAAAAAUGCUCUUUUAGGAUAUAUAUAUAUAUAUAUAUAUAUAUAUAUAUAUAUGUUUUUUUUUCUUUAUCGUUUAAAAAGUGUAACAAACUAGAUGAGUAUAUUUAUACUUACUUUUUCAUUAUCUUAGUUACACCCUUAAACAAUUUUUUCUAUAAUAAAAAUCGUUGUUGGUUUCAUUAAAAAAAAUUAGAUUAUUUUUUUGUUUGUUAUAUUGUUGGUGUCAUUGAAAUAAUAUAAGGAUGAAUGGGUUUUAAAUAUAAUGUAAGGAUCGAUUUUAUAGUUAGUCAAAUAAUUAGGGUUUGAAUUUUUUUAAAUUGGGGAAGAACGUUACCACUAAUUAUUGGAAGAAAUUUUGGAGAUUUUGGAGCGUACAUUAAAGAUUGUAAAAUUAGGGUUCUAAUUUUAUAUAAUCUGGGAAGAAAGAACUGUUGGAGAAGAAAGAAAUAGUCGUUGGGGGAGGAAAGAACAUUUUCUGCAAAUCAAUCAAAUUCGUCCUUGGAAAUUUUGGUCACUAUCGGUCAAAUUAGUCUCUGCUUAUGUGACAUCUGACAUGUGAGAGGUUAACGGUCACGUCAGCACCGUUAACACUCCAAUUGAGAGGAGGGAUUAAAUUGACAUUUUACAAAUUCAAGGACUAUUUUGAUAUUUCGUUAAAUUAAGGGAUAAAUUUGGCUGAUUUAUGCAAAUUCAAAGACGAAGUUGAUGAUUCAUCCUUUUUUUUUUUCUUUCAACACGAAUAAAAUAAAGUUGGAAUUUAUUUUUAUGCACAUAUUGCAUAAAUUUUUCUACACACCCAAAAAAAUCACGUAGAUAUUUGUGAAAUUAAUGUUUUAUGAAUUAAAAUAAAAGAUGUAUUGUCUUAUAAAUGCAACUCAGUUGGUAAGUUCAAUGGAC